Molecule: ribosomal RNA, 301 nt
Filed under: uncultured bacterium
Lineage: Bacteria
Description: partial 16S ribosomal RNA
Rfam family: Bacterial small subunit ribosomal RNA
Source: RNAcentral
CAGUCGCCACGGUAAGACGGAGGGUGCUAGCGUUGUUCGGAAUCACUGGGCGUAAAGGGCGCGUAGGCGGCCUGUUAAGUCGGAUGUGAAAGCCCGGGGCUCAGCCCCGGAACUGCAUCCGAGACUGGCAGGCUUGAGACCGGGAGAGGAGGGUGGAAUAUCCAGUGUAGAGGUGAAAUUCGUAGAUAUUGGAUGGAACACCGGUGGCGAAAGCGGCUCUCUGGCCCGGAUCUGACGCUGAGGCGCGAAAGCGUGGGGAGCAAACAGGAUUAGAUACCCCUGUAGUCCCUGUCUCUUAUAC